Molecule: unclassified non-coding RNA, 353 nt
Filed under: uncultured Pseudotomentella
Lineage: Eukaryota; Fungi; Basidiomycota; Agaricomycetes; Thelephorales; Thelephoraceae
Description: sequence contains 5.8S rRNA gene
Rfam family: 5.8S ribosomal RNA (bases 1-53)
Source: RNAcentral
GAACGCACCUUGCGCUCCUUGGUAUUCCGAGGAGCAUGCCUGUUUGAGUGUCAUGAAAUUCUCAACUACUUUUUUAACAUUUUAUGUGUUAAGGGUGAAGUUGGAGUUGGAGGAUAAUUGCUGGCGCAACUCUUGUCUAAGGUUGCUUGUUGGCUCCUCUUGAAUGGAUGAGCUUUUCUAAUGGAUCAUAGCUCAGUAACACUAAUGUGAUAAUUAUCUACGUUAGAUGUGAAAACUAUGAGUAGAGUGGAAGCUCCUAUAGAAAAGAAGAUAAUAUGUCUUGGGUGAUAACAAACCCUUGAACUUUGACAAAUCUGACCUCAAAUCAGGUAGGACUACCCGCUGAACUUAAG